UUUUUUAUAGUGUAAAGUAACACACUACAUUUUCGUUGUAGAGAUGAAGAUAUUAAUUCUUCUAUAAAUA
Molecule: transfer RNA, 70 nt
Filed under: Scyllarides latus (Mediterranean slipper lobster)
Lineage: Eukaryota; Metazoa; Arthropoda; Malacostraca; Decapoda; Scyllaridae
Description: tRNA-Glu
Rfam family: tRNA
About the family: Transfer RNA (tRNA) molecules are approximately 80 nucleotides in length. Their secondary structure includes four short double-helical elements and three loops (D, anti-codon, and T loops).
Source: RNAcentral